RNAcentral lists this ribosomal RNA (504 nucleotides) under uncultured bacterium. RNAcentral's name for it is "partial 16S ribosomal RNA". It matches the Rfam family "Bacterial small subunit ribosomal RNA", at positions 30 to 523 of the family's 1533-position model. The record is from RNAcentral.
AUUGAACGCUGGCGGCAGGCCUAACACAUGCAAGUCGAGCGGUAGCACAGGGAGCUUGCUCCUGGGUGACGAGCGGCGGACGGGUGAGUAAUGUCUGGGAAACUGCCUGAUGGAGGGGGAUAACUACUGGAAACGGUAGCUAAUACCGCAUAACGUCGCAAGACCAAAGAGGGGGACCUUCGGGCCUCUUGCCAUCAGAUGUGCCCAGAUGGGAUUAGCUAGUAGGUGGGGUAACGGCUCACCUAGGCGACGAUCCCUAGCUGGUCUGAGAGGGUGACCAGCCACACUGGAACUGAGACACGGUCCAGACUCCUACGGGAGGCAGCAGUGGGGAAUAUUGCACAAUGGGCGCAAGCCUGAUGCAGCCAUGCCGCGUGUAUGAAGAAGGCCUUCGGGUUGUAAAGUACUUUCAGCGGGGAGGAAGGUGUUGAGGUUAAUAACCUCAGCAAUUGACGUUACCCGCAGAAGAAGCACCGGCUAACUACGUGCCAGCCGCCGCGGUAA